CUUCAUUGACGGAGGGGUGGAAGUCGGAGACGGUGCUGGUGUUGCUGCCGCAGUCACAUAGUCUACAACGCGGUUGAGGAGAAAACCCUUGAGAGAAGCCCGAGAGACAGGUGAUGGGGAAGGGGCUCUAGGGUUGAUGAUCGAAGGCUUCGACGCUGACCGACGUGCAAAAGACCUAAGAAGAGAUGAUAAGACCUUGCGAGAAGCCAUGGAUGGGGGCUAUGGUUAGU
Telopea speciosissima is the source of this 230-nucleotide long non-coding RNA. RefSeq lists it as uncharacterized. The record is from RefSeq and is a predicted model, not a curated record. The transcript is spliced from 3 exons. Lineage: Eukaryota; Viridiplantae; Streptophyta; Magnoliopsida; Proteales; Proteaceae.